This 253-nucleotide ribosomal RNA is filed under the name uncultured bacterium. Its description in RNAcentral is "partial 16S ribosomal RNA". It matches the Rfam family "Bacterial small subunit ribosomal RNA", at positions 524 to 776 of the family's 1533-position model. The record is from RNAcentral.
UACGGGGGGGGCAAGCGUUGUUCGGAAUUACUGGACGUAAAGGGCUCGUAGGUGGCCAACUAAGUCAGACGUGAAAUCCCUCGGCUCAACCGGGGAACUGCGUCUGAUACUGGAUGGCUUGAAUCCGGGAGAGGGAUGCGGAAUUCCAGGUGUAGCGGUGAAAUGCGUAGAUAUCUGGAGGAACACCGGUGGCGAAGGCGGCAUCCUUGACCGGUAUUGACACUGAGGAGCGAAAGCCAGGGGAGCAAACGGG